This is a long non-coding RNA of Manihot esculenta (cassava), 280 nucleotides long. RefSeq lists it as uncharacterized. The transcript is spliced from 3 exons. Lineage: Eukaryota; Viridiplantae; Streptophyta; Magnoliopsida; Malpighiales; Euphorbiaceae. The record is from RefSeq and is a predicted model, not a curated record.
CCUCCCACGUUUGUCCUUCUUUCUCUUCAGUUAACCAUCAUCAGCUUUAUCCUUCACAAAUUUUCUCCUUCUGCACCUAUCUCCACAACCAAGGUACUCAAUCUCUUUCCCAACUGGACGUGGUUCAGUCGUAUCACGCUGCAGAAUCUCCUCUCCGUCUAUUGAAAUCUGUCGAACACACUAGCGGGCAAACCAGGUUCUUGGACAUAGGCAUGAUUUCCUAAAUUGAGUACACAUUUAUAAGGUUCGGACCCGAGGAACCGAGGACCUCAGUAGUGAG